CUGACUACUGUUUUUAAUACCCUAGCAAAACAACGGACAGAAAUGGCGAAGCCAAAUGCCUCACACUCCAAGUCAUCAUCAAACAGCCUUGUCAUCAAAUACAAACAGAAACGUGACCUCAAGAUAAAUUCCAUGUGAUAAAAUUCGUCAUAGAUUUGAAUACUCAACGCUAAACUAAGAACAUAUUCAAACAAUUCAUAUUUCUUCAAGUUUCAAGAGAUUCCACCGGAAACUUCAACACACACACAAUCGGACACAAAAUGCAACAACAACAACAAGUUGCUUCCAGAUUCAAUCAAAUUUCGAACAUAGAGACAGAGACAGAAAGGAGAAGAGAUUAACCUGAGCAAUAUUUCUUUAAUUAGUUCAAUUUGCAAGCCAUUACAAGUCAAAUUCGAAUUUCAGCAGUAACAGGGAACUCCAACAUGAACUUCUUCAAAUUUCACUCAGAUGAAGUCCUUGAUAGAACCAAAAACUUCACCGGAGACCUCGAACAGAAACUACGAACAAGACUCGAAACUCGCCGGAACCAUGACAAAAUUCAGAAACGGACCUUGAAUCGGCACCUCUGAUUUGCUCUAUUUUGGACGAUGCCUACCGGACUGUUUCACGGAGAUUUUAUCUGGUUUCGUGGCUGAAAAAGGUGAAAUCAGGGGGGUGAGGUCAUUUUUGGGUGUUAAGCGGCGGAUCC
RNAcentral lists this long non-coding RNA (691 nucleotides) under Nicotiana tabacum (common tobacco). Its description in RNAcentral is "long non-coding RNA (NTAB_LNC015358)". The record is from RNAcentral. Lineage: Eukaryota; Viridiplantae; Streptophyta; Magnoliopsida; Solanales; Solanaceae.